GACGAACGCUGGCGGCGUGCUUAACACAUGCAAGUCGAGCGGUAAGGCCCUUUCGGGGGUACACGAGCGGCGAACGGGUGAGUAACACGUGGGUGACCUGCCCUCAGCUCUGGGAUAAGCCUGGGAAACCGGGUCUAAUACUGGAUAUGACUCCAUGACGCAUGUUGUGGGGUGGAAAGCCUUGUGCGGCUGAGGAUGGGCCCGCGGCCUAUCAGCUUGUUGGUGGGGNGAUGGCCUACCAAGGCGACGACGGGUAGCCGGCCUGAGAGGGCGACGGCCACACUGGGACUGAGACACGGCCCAGACUCCUACGGGAGGCAGCAGUGGGGAAUCUUGCGCAAUGGGCGAAAGCCUGACGCAGCGACGCCGCGUGAGGGAUGACGGCCU
This 387-nucleotide ribosomal RNA is filed under the name uncultured bacterium. RNAcentral describes it as "bacterial SSU rRNA". It matches the Rfam family "Bacterial small subunit ribosomal RNA", at positions 28 to 417 of the family's 1533-position model. The record is from RNAcentral.